UACGAAGGGGGCAAGCGUUGUUCGGAAUCAUUGGGCGUAAAGGGCGCGUAGGCGGGCUUGUAAGUCGAUUGUGAAAUCCCUGGGCUCAACCCGGGAAUGGCAGUCGAAACUGCAAGUCUUGAAUGCUCGAGAGGAUGGUGGAAUUCCUGGAGUAGUAGUGAAAUACGUAGAUAUCAGGAGGAACACCGGAGGCGAAGGCGGCCAUCUGGCGAGACAUUGACGCUGAGGCGCGAAAGCGUGGGGAGCAAACAGG
RNAcentral lists this ribosomal RNA (253 nucleotides) under uncultured bacterium. RNAcentral describes it as "partial 16S ribosomal RNA". It matches the Rfam family "Bacterial small subunit ribosomal RNA", at positions 524 to 776 of the family's 1533-position model. The record is from RNAcentral.